CCACUUAUUGGGCCACCUACGGGCCAUAGGUGGAACCUAUGGACCGUAGGUGGUCCCAUAUAGGUGUUAGAACAAAUAAAUCUUCUAAAUACUACUCCUGACUUCAUCUUCUAAGAUAGCUUCUGGAACCUAUGGACUAUAGGUUGCACCAACGACCGUAGGUGCCCUCCGUAGGUGGAAGGGUCACCUGUUUUUCCUUUUGGUUCUCUAGUUCUCAUCUUCUCUGACACAUACUGUAGCACCUAUUCCUAGUAGGUAGUAAAUAUGGGUCAUAGGUGCCCACUUCAGUUAUCCAAAACUUCAAUUGUCACUCCUUUUCUUUAGAAUAGUUC
Molecule: long non-coding RNA, 332 nt
Filed under: Capsicum annuum
Lineage: Eukaryota; Viridiplantae; Streptophyta; Magnoliopsida; Solanales; Solanaceae
Description: long non-coding RNA (CANN_LNC014159)
Source: RNAcentral